RNAcentral lists this ribosomal RNA (389 nucleotides) under uncultured bacterium. Its description in RNAcentral is "bacterial SSU rRNA". It matches the Rfam family "Bacterial small subunit ribosomal RNA", at positions 30 to 421 of the family's 1533-position model. The record is from RNAcentral.
AUUGAACGCUGGCGGCAUGCCUUACACAUGCAAGUCGAACGGUAACGGGCCUUCGGGUGCCGACGAGUGGCGAACGGGUGAGUAAUGCAUCGGAACGUACCUUUCAGUGGGGGAUAACGUAGCGAAAGUUACGCUAAUACCGCAUAUUCUGUGAGCAGGAAAGCAGGGGAUCGCAAGACCUUGCGCUGAUUGAGCGGCCGAUGUCAGAUUAGCUAGUUGGUGAGGUAAAGGCUCACCAAGGCGACGAUCUGUAGCGGGUCUGAGAGGAUGAUCCGCCACACUGGAACUGAGACACGGUCCAGACUCCUACGGGAGGCAGCAGUGGGGAAUUUUGGACAAUGGGGGCAACCCUGAUCCAGCCAUGCCGCGUGAGUGAAGAAGGCCUUCGG